UACGUAGGGUGCGAGCGUUGUCCGGAAUUAUUGGGCGUAAAGAGCUCGUAGGCGGUCUGUCGCGUCGAUCGUGAAAACUUGGGGCUUAACCCUGAGCUUGCGGUCGAUACGGGCAUGACUGGAGUUCGGCAGGGGAGACUGGAAUUCCGGGUGUAGCGGUGAAAUGCGCAGAUAUCAGGAGGAACACCGGUGGCGAAGGCGGGUCUCUGGGCCGAUACUGACGCUGAGGAGCGAAAGCGUGGGGAGCGAACAGG
RNAcentral lists this ribosomal RNA (254 nucleotides) under uncultured bacterium. RNAcentral describes it as "partial 16S ribosomal RNA". It matches the Rfam family "Bacterial small subunit ribosomal RNA", at positions 524 to 776 of the family's 1533-position model. The record is from RNAcentral.